UUGAGUCUACAAACUUAAUGCUUAAUAAACUUAUGAUCUUAUACUUAAAGGCACAAUAUACUUAUUUAAUUAUUUAGAAAUGUUAAUUAUAUGUUGUGCAGUUAUGUGUUGCAAAGGUAGCAAAAUGUAAGUAAACAAAGUAGUUUUUUGAAUUCCAUACAAAAUACUAAUUCACUAUAGUUAUACCAACUUGUCAACAAAGCAAAAGAAGCAGAAAUAAAUCAUUUUUAUGGCAAAUUAGUAUUUUAUUGAAAUUGUUACAAGGUACCAAAAGUAAACAGAUUUUGAUAAAAGAAAUGAUUUCUGAGGCAUCAUGUUUCAUUUUUCAAGCGGAUAUUACGAAUUUGUGGUACACCCGCUUUUACGAGGAAAAGAGACGCAAACAUCGCGAGUACGUUAUGAAAAUAUAGUCAUGAAAUUUAGAAGUAAUAACCGUUCCUUCUGACAAGAGUAUGCAAUCACUGUAAUAGGGUUGUAAAUCUUAAUUAUGUCCUUGAUGAAAAGUUAAUUGCCCUUAUAAUGAUUAAUAAAUAAAAAAUAUCUAAUUAUAACAAGAGCUCUAAAGACAUUUUUGGACAUAUUAGUAAUAACCAAAAUCAAUCGCAACAAUUAAAUUACUUUAUUUUUACAGAUACACAAGAGUCACUGAAAGAGCUUAUACAUGACACAAACUUGUAAGAAGAGACAGUUAACAAAAUUCACUUGGAACUGUUAGAUUACUUGAACUACGAACCAACUCAGCCAGAGAGAGAGGAGUGGUUACGUGUUGUAUGUGACACUUACGAGGAGCUUACAAAGGCUAAAGAAACUUUACUAGUCCAUAGAAAAAAGAUUAAGCUAUUACAAAGACAUGCCCCUCAGUGGUGCUGAAAGAGCACGAAGGUAUGUAUAGGGAGAAGAAAAAGCAAAACGCACAAGAAUAAUUAUGCAGAAUACCUUAGCAAGGAAAGGGCCCGGUAUCAUAAGAGGAAAGCAAAGGGUGAAAUAAAACUUGCCUCUGAAAUGACCGACCGCGAACGUAGAAAUGCAAGAAGAUGUUGGAGAGUUCAUAAACAAAGGCAGAAAAAUCUUGAAGCGAACACACCACCACCAUCACCAUCACAUUCAAGUCCAUUUCGUUUGCGGUUAAUUUUCAUGUGCAAAGUUACAGGUUAUAAUGGAUCCUCUUGAAAGCAUGAAGGCUUUACAUCUUGAAAUGUUGGGAGUGUCAUACAAGCUGAGAGGUGGAUCAUCUAUAAAAGACAUUUUCACAAAAUUGGAAACAGUGUCAAGACGUUUAAAUCUUGUUAGGAAAACAUGAUCAUUUCGGGUACAAAAAUAGAGGACUUAAAAGCACAACUUUAAUAUUUACAAGGCAAUUAUGAAUCAUUGUCAAAAAUGUGUGAUGAGAGAACCAAAUUGAUUCAAGAAAAUUGUUUGCUGAAAAAGCAGCUUGCUGCAAUGAAGCAAAACGUGUUUCAAAUGGCCCUAGAAAGCACUCAAGAUUUGUUUGAUUCUGAUUUCGAUGAAGACAAUCAAACAAAUUAAAUGUUGAUGCUGCACAUCAAGAACUCCGCCAAAAGAUGUGAACAGUCAAAGGUAAUGCACAAAAUCAGCCUUGAAAAUCGUUUUCUAUUACAGUUGAAUAUCCGAAGCACUAGUCAAUUUUAUCUCCAUGUUCUUGGAAUGUGCUCGUUGUUUAAUAAUUACGUUGCAUAUUUUUGUGGAAAAGUAUCGCCUAAUGCAUAAAUUCCCAAAGUAAUGCCUUAUCUGAAAUUCUGAAAUGAUGUUGCGACAAAAAUUGAAAUUGGAUAACAAGUAAAAUUGAAAAGAUUGGUAUACUUAAAACAAUUUAGGACUGGUACACUUAAAAUAAAUUUAAGACAAAGAAAAGGGUUAAAGAUAUCUUCGUUUCCCCGAAAAUAUGUCAAUUUAAAUAUUGGUGCGAAUCGCAUUAUGUUCGAAUGAGUUGAGGACGAAUGGCUCUGUUAUUUUACAAAAAAGCAAAAAAGUAAUAACCGUCUAGGUACAAAGUACCGGUUAUAACACACCUUAGCUCCAGGUGAUAUACACCGCCAGCACAUUUACAUCAGAUUGUAAAAAUAGUGAACGGAAAUGUUAGACUUUAUGAAAUCUUCUCAUCAUCUGUAUCUGAUCAAUAUUUUGCAAAACACUAUCUGAUACCGUGUAGUGCACCCAAACACCGAUUUGAGCAGAUCUUACUUUCCGCUUAUAGCAUUUGGUACGCAAAUAUAGUUUGUGUCGCAGAAUUGAUAUAUUAUUGAGUGAAGUUACUACGAAGCCAAUUUUUUUCCAUUAUAUUAAAUACACAAUCUAGGUAUCAAUUAAAGAAGAAACGUUGUAUCUUUUAAAUUGUAUUCACGCGAAGACAACACACUUUUAUUUAGAACAAAUAAUGUGUUUAACAUUACAAGAUCUUACACAAAUAUCUGCUAAAAAUGAUUCCUGCGAAGCCUUAUAUCCAGCAAAAAUACAUGAAAAUCGAGAGUUUUUUUUUAUAUAUGAACGCACAUUAGUUGUCGUUUGUUGUAUUUUCAUUACUUAUCUCACUCUUGCUAUAAGUAAAUAUGUAUUAUUUCAUGUCAGUAACUAGUGAACUUGUACGUGUACAUUAUAAUUUGCUUUAUUUUUACAAUUUACAGGAAAGAAAUCUACGUUGUAUCAUAAUUGUAUAUGUUUGUAUUAUAUGAAAUAAACACUGUUUAAACCAAAUUAGUGAAGAGCGUACAUUAUUUGUUGUGCAUCCGCUGAAUAUACGAGGAAAAGAAACGCAAUCAUCGCGAGUACGUUCAUACAAAUAAGACGUAAUCAUCGUUUCCUUUGUCAAUUGUAAUACAAGAGUUAAUUAUGCAGUCACUUUAAUAGGGCUGCAAAUCUCAAUUAUGUCCUUGAUGAAAAAGUUAAUUGCCCUUGAAAUGAAAACUGAAAAUGAGGGAAAUCUUAAAAGUCAAAGAUAGUCGUAAGUGUUUUGUCUGAUUGUGUUGCUAUAAAAGUAUGUUUGUUUUGAGGAAACAUUCACAAUAGUCGUAAGUCUUUUGUCGGAUUGUGUUGCUAUAAAAGUAUGUUUGUUUUGAGGAAACAUUCACAAUAAAUGCUAAUUCAUUUAUAUCUCAUAUCUAAUUUGUAUUUAGUUGAAGGUUUUUAACACAAAUCUUUAAAAUUAUAUAUAGUUUUUGUAAUAACCUUUAUUAGUUUGUAGUACUGUGGUCCUGUGUUGCUGGGUCAUGUGGGAUUGCGGUCAUUAAACGCCGCCUUUCUUUGAUUAUCUUGUUUUUCGUCUAUUAUAUUUCUCUGUUUUUAUACAUGCUCCCCGAAAAAGUUCGGGGCGCAUAUAGUCGCCGGGAUGUCCGUCCGUCCCGAAUUGGUGUGCGGCCCAUUAAUUCGUUAUUUGAAGUCGAAUUUUACAACUAUUUCACAGAAAUGAUUACCAUAUUGAGACGACGUGUCGCGUGCAACAUUUGGGUCGCUACCUUGUAGGUCAAGGUCACAGCAUGACCUUGCAGCAAAAUCGUGUCCGGCCCAUAACUUCAUUAUUUGAAGUCGGAUUUUACAACUAUUUCACAGAAAUGUUCAUUAUAUUGAGACUACGUGUCACGCAUAACAUUUGGAUCGAUGCCUUGAAAGUCAAGGUAACAGCAUUACCUUGCUUUUAAAUAAUGAACAUAACUACUAAUAUCUACCAUGUUAAGACCAUCUUAUUUGUAUUUGUAAUGAUUGCAGAUUUUUUUUUGCCUUACCUUCCAAUAUAAAAUCAUAAAAUAAGUCAUUAAGUCAUGAAGUGUUUUCAAAAAGCAGUAUAAGUUGUAGGUAGACUUGUAAAACAAUGAGUCAAUAAAGGAAGCAAUAUUGACUUAAAAACAGUGAUUUUUCCUAGUGGAGUUCAUAUCCUUUUUUCCAAUGCCUUGUACUUUUCUUUUACUUUCUGCAGCUUUGAACGUACGGGACAUACAUCUGAAACGGUUAGAGGUAUCAACAUUACACUUUGUAGGUAGAUUGAUCUCAUUAUUAAUUGAAUACAAGUGCAGUGCAAAAGAACCUUAACUCUGCCUUGUCGCUAACUUUGGAGUUAUUGCCCUUCGUUCAUGUUCAAACUUUGAACUUCGUCGACAUAACUCUGAUACUACAAUAGGUAUACUUUCCUGUGUCAAAACCUAUUCGGGGAGCAACAUCCGGCUAAAAAGGUUCUUGUGUUCCAAAAAUUCAACGCCCAGUCACGAGUUUAAUAUUAUGUAUUUAAGGUUUUUUGUUUGAUCCUACCUUUAAAUAAUUGUUAAUGAUUUGUCAAUUGUGUGCUUAUUAGGUAUCCGGCCAGUAUUGUGAUUGACGUUCUCCGGCCUUGUUAAAUAUCCCAUUAACCGGAACCAAAGGAAUGGAUUUCCAUCCACAUCAUCAAAAGUUUGUUGUUUGGGUUUCCUUUUGUUUUGUUUUUGUGGUUUCUUUAUUGGUUUUUGUCGUUUAUUUUUCUUUUUUCACCUGACAAAUCCUUCUAGUCCUUGCGCCCUGUCCCGUUUAUGUGUUUUCUAGGUUCCUAGCCGAUGAUGUUGUGUUAUAUUGGUGAAUGCUUUCACUGAAAGCCUCCCUUCCUUGUUGAUCUUUUUCAUGUUUUGUAUCAACAAUCGUGUUCGAAUAAACCAAUAUUAUGACAUAUUACAAAAGUUUGUGUCAAUUAAUAUUUUCGCAAAAUCAAAUUAUUUUGAGUUUUCAAAUAAGUUUCAAUCUUUCUUCAGUAAUAACAUGGUAAUGAGAUUUGUGUCAAGAGCUUACACUGUUGAUACAAAUUGAUUGUAGUCCGCUUAAAUGAUAUCAAACAUUUCAAAGAUUUCAAAUUUUAUCAUGAUUUUCAGAAUAUUAACACAUGGUAUGUUGUCAUGAGAUUUUUUUCCGUCAUUUUAAAUCACUUUUACUUAGGUUUCUUUCCAUUGUUUGGGAAAGACAUGUAAGCAGUCUGUAAAGAGACAGUGCUCGGAAAUAUCAAGUUGACGCUUUUAACUGUAAAAAAUGAAGCGUAAAUUUCUCAUUAUUUUAAAGGACAGACUACUUGAAUAUAAAAUAAAUGUCGAGGAAUCACAAUUUUCAGACAAUAAUAAAGCUCGGCAGAAAUUUUUAAAAGCUGUAUGAAUAUAUAUUGUUAUGUACAUCUUUCAAAUAUCUUUAUAUAAAUACAUUGUGUUUACUAUUUUUUCUCAUUGUGGAACAGUUAUAUCUAAACCAAUAUGUAAAAGAUAUGCAAGGAGGUAAUCGUAAAAAAUGAAUCAUUCUUUAUACUGUAUCCCUUCCCACAAGGAGGAAAAGUGAUGAGCGCACUGAUUUAAAUAAUUCAACACGUCAGAAAGGUAUUUCAGUCUGACAUAAACUUUUAGACUUUUGUCAAGUUUACAUACAGUCACACAUCAAACGUGUGUAAUCUCAUCGUCAUAGUCAAUAAAAUUAUAAUACGACAUUGGUCAAAAUAACAGACAUUGUCUAAUUUUACUCCUUUUUGAGUACUAUUUUUUAAAUUCUCUUCUGUUUAUUAUUUUUAUCACUAUUAACAUGGUGUAGAGGUUAUGAAGCCUGUACAUCAGAGAUAAUAAAAUACAAUUUAAAAAGCAAGUAACAGACCGUAGAAGAGAUUAAACAGUAUCCAAAAAGGAAUACUAGAACCGGCCCAUUGAUAAUAUAACUAAUAAACUUUCGCCAACAAUGUAAGUAUUAUCCAGUAUUCAUUUAGUUUGACAAGUUUUAAAUAACUGUUUGCUUAGAUGAAGCAGCCUGAUACCGAAUUUGUUGUCAAUAUAUAUAAACAAUUCAACCUUUAUUAUUUUCUAAAUAGUUCUUAUAAAAUACUGAAUUUAUAGUACUUUGUCGUUUGCAUUUGGUAUUUUGCGAAUAACCAAAAUGUUAAAAAUUCAAAAUAACCAACGUUAAUAAUAUUAACGUAAUGUAUCUCUGCAUAAUCAUAAUAUGUUUCUGAAAAGAAAAUACACAAAAAACCUGUUAAUAAAAACCAAAUGAAACGCGGGAUAUUGAUCAUUGACUCCCUUAUCCGUAAAUGCUGAUAAAAAUCUGUUGUUAUUACCAAGUUCUAAGUAUAAAUAUAUUAAGGCUCUUAAUGCGUAAUAAAUGUUAUGAAAACUUUUAGGAUAUUAAGAUAAGACAGUAGUAAAAGUACGUGACUGUAUUGGACAGUGAUAAUUUAAUAUGUAUAAAUUGUAUAAGCAAGUGACAACUAACGUUUUGGUAAGGUGAAAACUUUUCUUGGUUUUCAAAGCAGUUUGA
Molecule: long non-coding RNA, 6258 nt
Organism: Ruditapes philippinarum (Manila clam)
Lineage: Eukaryota; Metazoa; Mollusca; Bivalvia; Venerida; Veneridae
Exons: 2
Source: RefSeq, a predicted model, not a curated record